This 523-nucleotide small RNA is filed under the name Pan troglodytes (chimpanzee). RNAcentral describes it as "retained intron". The record is from RNAcentral. Lineage: Eukaryota; Metazoa; Chordata; Mammalia; Primates; Hominidae.
UAGAAUAUUGCCUCUUUAUAUUUAAAUGGAUUUGGUAUUCUGUCUUCUUUCUAAUAAAAGGGAGGACCUGGAGGGUAAGUAGUGGUUCUGUGCUGGGAUAUGUUAUAAGCGAGUUAUUUAAUUUGGAAAUCUCAUUUUCAGUUGCCCAUUGGACGUCAAUGUGUAAAUCAUUACCGACGCCUAAGGCGCCACUGUGUCUUUUCACACGAGGAACUCAUUUUCAAGAUGGCAGCAGAUCCAGAAUGCUUAGAUGUGGGGCUGGCUGCCAUGGUCUGCAAAGAAUUGACUCUCAUGACUGAAGAAGAAACACGAUUAAGAGAGUCUGUUGUACAGAUGGGUGUCCUGAUGUCAGAAGAAGAAGUGUUUGAACUUGUUCCUGAUGAUGAGCGGCAGUGUUCAGCAUGCAGAACCACAUGUUUUCUCUCUGCUCUCACAUGUUCCUGUAAUCCUGAGCGGCUUGUAUGUCUCUACCAUCCAACUGAUCUGUGCCCCUGCCCCAUGCAGAAGAAAUGUCUUAGGUAUC